Molecule: long non-coding RNA, 2163 nt
Organism: Gasterosteus aculeatus aculeatus (three-spined stickleback)
Lineage: Eukaryota; Metazoa; Chordata; Actinopteri; Perciformes; Gasterosteidae
Source: Ensembl
GUGAGUGGCAAACGGACCCCUUAAAGCACCGCUAUGCUAAGCUAAGCUAGCUGGAAGAGUUGCUAGUUCAACAUAUUCCACUCGGUGUAAUUCUGCCUCCAAGGUGAUCAGAUGUGUGUAGUUUUGUGUUUAAAAUAACAUUAACAAUAGACAACAGUGUCUAAAUAGUAUAUAUAUAUAUAAUAUAUAUAAGAUGAACGAAUUCCAAAAUGUGCGAUUAAUUAGUUACAUUUUUAAUCCAUCGACAGCCCUAAUAUACAUAUACAUGUACAUAUAUGUUUAUAUGUACAUGUAUAUACCUUAUGUGCACUGACCAGCUCCUCUGACUGUUCUUCAUCUACUCAUCAAUUUCCUCCGUCCCACCUUCACCUGUGCAGGUGUCCCCGGUCCGGAGGAGAUAAGUCCCGAGCUCCCACUCUGUGUCUGGUGUGCGGCUCCAUGUUGUGUUCUCAGAGUUACUGCUGUCAGACGGAGGUGGACGGAGAGGACGUAGGUGCCUGCACCGCCCACACCUUCACCUGUGGAGCCGGCCUUGGUCUCUUCCUCAGUGUGUCAUCAGACAUUUGAUCAAUUGAAGCAGUGAAACGUGGAACAUGAAAAGUGUCAAAUAAACCAACUGAACUUUAUGAAGAACACAACAUGCAGCGGCUUCCCUUUAUCAGUGAGGAAGAGAGCUGCCUUGUUUUCCGGGGGAGUGGCGAAUUAAUCCAGCCGCUCAAAUGAAGCUGCGCCGGAGCAGGUUCAAGUUUGUGGAUGUGUUGCUGUGGUGAUUUGAACCGAAAAGCCUGAUCCUUGUCAUCUUAUCCGGCUAACGCAGCUAGCCACGGUAAGAGAAAGUCAGGUGCUGUUUGUAGCAGGUAAAACAAAGGGCUGCUUCUAUCCUCCUCCGUACCUGGACGACUACGGGGAGACGGACCAGGGCCUCAAGCGGGGGAACCCCCUCCACCUCUGCGUUGAGCGCUACAGGAAGAUUGAGCGUCUGUGGCGUCAGCACGGCAUCGCUGAGGUCAUAGGUCACGCUCAGGAGGCCAAUCAAACGCUGGUAGCCAUCGACUGGCAGCACCUGUGAUGAUUGGCUCCUCUCUGCGUUUGCCCCGCCCCUUUUCAGUUACUGCGCCGCAUGUUAACAAAUCAGCUUCCUGCAGCCCAGUGCUGACUUCAGAUCAGCGUUCAGGGAUUCUUUCAGGACUUUUGGUUUCGGUGUGAUAGAGGAUCUUUACCAUUGACAUCUCACCGUGUCUGUUUCCCUCCAGUACUCAGACUGUUCCCCCUUUAUUCUUGCUCACACAGACACACAUUUACGAACAUUUCUUUUUUAAAUAGUUUUUUAUUGAUUUUUUUCAAAUUUUCAUUUGUUUCAGAAAAUGAUCCGACAAAAUGAAAAAUCAUUACUUCAACUCAUUAACAUUGUACCAGAAUGAAGCCCCGCCCACCUGCUGCUGUCCCACACAGGUUGAUUGUCAGGUUAGGGUCUUUAAUCUUGAAUCCCGGAUUCAGAAAAUGCUUCAACCCCCAAGAUGCAUCUCAUCAACAAAGAGCUUUAAGAAGCUAAAGGUAACCCUUUGUAGAACCCUUCAGGAACAUUGCGGCCUUGUCUCCAUGGCAAUAUCAGCUGAGGCUCCUGGGUAUUGUUAGUAUUUACAAAAUAAGAACGGUGUAUGUGAAGGCUCUUAUUGUUAAAUCACCACGUCGUCUCUUAAGAAACGUGUAACCAUGGUUGCCACUGUGAUCAAUUACUGAUUGGUGAGUCAUACAUUUGUGUUUCCAUGGCCACACCCUCCCAGAAUUCAGUGCUGCUGCAUAACGGAAAUUGAAAAAGGAUUGUUCCUAUUCAUCGGUUCACAGCAAGCUGACCCUUUGUGGUCCACGGGUUUGUUUUGGUGAGCUGUGAUGUCCCUUCCUCUUUUUUUAUGAGUUUGCUGAAAUUUGAAGAGUCAAACACAAACUGAAAUCUUUCAUUUAUUUAUUUAUUUAUUUAUUAGUUUCUUAUAAAAAUCUGAUUUCCCUUUAAACUCUUGAGUUUGAAAUAUUUUCUUUUUUAUAAGUUUAAAUAAAAAGUGGCCUCAUCUUCCUUAUCUUCAUUUUUCAGACUUGUUAAUAUGUGAAUUAUUGUAUAAAUGAGUAAAUGUACAAUAUUGUAUAAGAAUAACAAAACCAUUAAAC